RNAcentral lists this RNase P RNA (375 nucleotides) under PS1 clade bacterium. RNAcentral's name for it is "RNase P RNA component class A". It matches the Rfam family "Bacterial RNase P class A". Rfam says of the family: Ribonuclease P (RNase P) is a ubiquitous endoribonuclease, found in archaea, bacteria and eukarya as well as chloroplasts and mitochondria. Lineage: Bacteria; Pseudomonadati; Pseudomonadota; Alphaproteobacteria. The record is from RNAcentral.
UCAGAGGGUCGGGUGGCCGCUCCCGCUUCGGCGGGGGAGGAAAGUCCGGGCUCCACGGGAACACGGCGCCGGGUAACGCCCGGCGGAGGUGACUCCAGGGAAAGUGCCACAGAAAGCAAACCGCCUGCGCCAUGUUCGCAUGGGGGAGGUAAGGGUGAAAGGGUGCGGUAAGAGCGCACCGCGCUGCCGGUAACGGCAGUGGCAGGGUAAACCCCGCCGGGAGCAAGACCAAAUAGAGACGGCAUAUGGCCCUGUUUCCGGGUCGUCGUCCGGGUAGGUUGCACGAGGUGUUCGGUAACGGGCAUCCCAGAUGAAUGGUCACCGCCAUUUCUUCGGAAAUGUGUACAAAACCCGGCUUACAGACCCUCUGACCGC